UGGGGCUCCCGCCGGUUCUGCAGGUCG
RNAcentral lists this small RNA (27 nucleotides) under Bombyx mori (domestic silkworm). Its description in RNAcentral is "ovarian small RNA-35042". The record is from RNAcentral. Lineage: Eukaryota; Metazoa; Arthropoda; Insecta; Lepidoptera; Bombycidae.